GCUUUCGGUGCUUGGUAGAUCGAUGCUUCUGAACUUAAAGGCAAAGUAAUAAACUAAACAAACCGCCGGUUGCUGCUUCAGAGAGCCGCUCGCCUCCGUUAUUUCUGCUCAUUUUGGACAGAAAACGCUUCACGGGGUGCACAGGGUUUGCUGAGAAGAUGCUUAUUUUCCCACGACUUGCUUCGUAUCUCAUAUCUAUGUGACUGAUUUUUGAUAGAUCAGACAAAGGUCACGUUAUUGACCAAAAUAGCACAGUUCUUUGGUUGUUUUUGGCUAGAUGUAAGCCUUUAGUCGAUGCGUUGCAGCCUAUGACGAUGAUGUGUUGUAAAGGUAUGGAAACUAUGAUGUAAUUUCUGUGUACGGGCAACCCCAACAGCUCCUCCAGCAGAAGCUGCUUCCUCCUGCCUUCCAGAUGCUGCUGACCAAGUUGUCCACCAUCUGACAGGCGGUUCUGGCUGAUGACCUGUCGCCAUAGCUGAUAGAAACCCAGAAGGAAUAUCAUCCCCAAUGAUACUGCUAAUAUUAGUAACUGUACUGAUGAGGAACAGGAGGGCAGGCUUAUCCAUUGUCCCUGAACUGCUUGAAGUGUAGAGUCAAAAUGACAGUGCCACUUUGUUACCGCUAGUCACAUGUUUGAGAAGAUGUUCUGCAAAAAUAAUAACAAUACAGAGAUGGUCUUGCUCUUCAAUGAGGUUCUGACAAUCAUAUGUUGGAAUCCAUUAUAAAGAAAACCUACAGUAGUUGAACACUCUGUGUAGGUAGUAACCUGUUUGUUGAACGCCAGUGAUUCUAAGAACAAAAAUAACUGUUACCUGUAGGACAAUGUCUCUAUCACAGGUCACCAAGGGUACAACAAGGCAUAUCCUUAAUAAAAUACAUUUUCAUGGCUAAUUGUGCAUGCCUCUCAUUUCCCACUUAAUAUGCAAUAUAGUUAUACCUAUGGCUUGCAUAACCAACUCAGUGCCCUUGUUGUUAGUGUCCUACCUAAGAGUUGAAGGUUGGACAGUUCAAUCCCUGACCGAGUCAUACCAAAGACUGUAAAAAUGGGACCCGAUGCGUCUCUGCUUGGCACUCAAGAUAGAUUGGGGGUAAGGCCCUGCGAUAGACUAGCGUCCUAUCCAGGGGGUGUACUUGUACAUCAAGCUGCCUCACAUUACAGAAACAGGAGAUAUGCUCCUGCUCCUAUGAGUCGUUGUGGCUCACACAAG
Molecule: long non-coding RNA, 1208 nt
Organism: Oncorhynchus tshawytscha (Chinook salmon)
Lineage: Eukaryota; Metazoa; Chordata; Actinopteri; Salmoniformes; Salmonidae
Source: Ensembl